RNAcentral lists this ribosomal RNA (465 nucleotides) under uncultured bacterium. RNAcentral describes it as "bacterial SSU rRNA". It matches the Rfam family "Bacterial small subunit ribosomal RNA", at positions 338 to 795 of the family's 1533-position model. The record is from RNAcentral.
CCUACGGGUGGCACCAGUGGGGAAUAUUGCACAAUGGGCGCAAGCCUGAUGCAGCCAUGCCGCGUGUAUGAAGAAGGCCUUCGGGUUGUAAAGUACUUUCAGCGGGGAGGAAGGGAGUAAAGUUAAUACCUUUGCUCAUUGACGUUACCCGCAGAAGAAGCACCGGCUAACUCCGUGCCAGCAGCCGCGGUAAUACGGAGGGUGCAAGCGUUAAUCGGAAUUACUGGGCGUAAAGCGCACGCAGGCGGUUUGUUAAGUCAGAUGUGAAAUCCCCGGGCUCAACCUGGGAACUGCAUCUGAUACUGGCAAGCUUGAGUCUCGUAGAGGGGGGUAGAAUUCCAGGUGUAGCGGUGAAAUGCGUAGAGAUCUGGAGGAAUACCGGUGGCGAAGGCGGCCCCCUGGACGAAGACUGACGCUCAGGUGCGAAAGCGUGGGGAGCAAACAGGAUUAGAUACCCUAGUAGUC